Molecule: long non-coding RNA, 1235 nt
Filed under: Chinchilla lanigera (long-tailed chinchilla)
Lineage: Eukaryota; Metazoa; Chordata; Mammalia; Rodentia; Chinchillidae
Description: lncRNA (ENSCLAG00000025586.1)
Source: RNAcentral
CCAAUUUUUCAGUAAUCAGCAGCUCUUCUCAUCCGUCAAAACUUAGAUUAAACCUGCUUUCUGGUGCAUUCUUCCAGGAAUCCCCAAGCUGAUAAACUUGCACUUGUAGCCAGAUGCUGCGAUGGUUGAGGCACUGCAUCUUCUCUCUGGGACACUUAGUCAUGGAAAUCUUGGUCUCUGUUCCUAGAUUGCUUGGGGAUAAAAGUUGGGCAUGUUCUCUUCCACAAAGCUGAUAAAACAUCGUGUGUGCAGAAGAUGAUCAAUACAUUUUUAUUAGAAACAGUAGACUUAAAGUCAAUGUCUAAGUAGUUGGCUGCAAUUCAAUGCUUUUCUUGUUUGACUUUCCAGACCUGACAAAUAUGGUUGACUGCACAAUGGUGACAUAUAAUUCAAAUCAAAGGUGUGGUUCUCUGGACAACAGGGAUCUAUGUGACUGGUGCAGGAGGCAAGGCAGGGUGGCUUUCUUUAGAGAUUCUGUAUUCUGCACUGUUGAGGAGUCCAACGUCUCAGAGAACAAACGAUCAUGACAUGCACAAGGGAGUUUAAGGCCACUGGGACGUGCAGUUCCCCGUCACCUGCUGCAGCCCACCGUGCUUGCACACUGAGGUGCCUCACCGUCUAAGACCCAAGCACAGCACAGUGUCCUUCCUCUUCUCCACAGUGUCCUGGAAUCUGCUUCUUACUGUGUGUACAGAACCUGCUGCGACCACACUGCCUGCUCUGUGAAGGCAGGGAAAGCAAGUGCCUGGCUCAGUGCAGGGUACCCCUCCCCAGCCCCUGUACCUGUUGGACGAAGACUCUUUCAAAAAAAUGACGUUAUGAUAUGUCCAAAGCAGUGUGCCAGAAAAGUGUGUUUGUGUGUGUGAGGACGUUGGGAAACAUCUGGGGGUGCUUUGCUUUUCAUAAUGGCUGAGGACUACAGACAAGAAUGGGCAGCCCUCAGGGAACCUGAGCAUCAGCAACAUGGGGAUGCACCUACAGAGUGAAGAGUGUCCUGCCAACACCCAUGAAGCUCUUAAUGAAAACCAGUAGUUUUUCCAUUUAAGAAAAAGCAAACAAAAACAAAAACCAAACUGUUCUCUAUGUUCUCACUAUGCCAAAGUUCUCACAUUAGGAAAAGUCCCCAGACUCAUGGGUGGGUCUUGCAGUUUUAGCCCCCAAUCCCACCGCCCCCACUUUCACCUCCCUGCUCGUGGGGCUGGACCCACCACAUGCUCACUGCCGUGAGAGAUCCG